RNAcentral lists this ribosomal RNA (376 nucleotides) under uncultured bacterium. RNAcentral's name for it is "bacterial SSU rRNA". It matches the Rfam family "Bacterial small subunit ribosomal RNA", at positions 524 to 898 of the family's 1533-position model. The record is from RNAcentral.
GACAGAGGGUGCAAACGUUGCUCGGAAUUACUGGGCGUAAAGCGCGUGUAGGCGGGCCGAUAAGUCAGGCGUGAAAUCCCCGAGCUCAACUCGGGAACUGCACCUGAAACUGUCGGCCUAGAGUGAUGGAGAGGGUAGCGGAAUUCCUGGUGUAGAAGUGAAAUUCGUAGAUAUCAGGAGGAACACCGGUGGCGAAGGCGACUACCUGGACAUUAACUGACGCUGAGACGCGAAAGCGUGGGGAGCAAACAGGAUUAGAUACCCUGGUAGUCCACGCCGUAAACGAUGGACACUAGGUGUCGCGGGUUUUGACCCCCGCGGUGCCGUAGCUAACGCGUUAAGUGUCCCGCCUGGGGAGUACGGCCGCAAGGCUAAA